This 497-nucleotide ribosomal RNA is filed under the name uncultured bacterium. RNAcentral's name for it is "partial 16S ribosomal RNA". It matches the Rfam family "Bacterial small subunit ribosomal RNA", at positions 28 to 507 of the family's 1533-position model. The record is from RNAcentral.
GAUGAACGCUGGCGGCGUGCCUAGUACAUGCAAGUCGAGCGAACGGACGAGAAGCUUGCUUCUCUGAUGUUAGCGGCGGACGGGUGAAUAACACGUGGAUAACCUACCUAUAAGACUGGGAUAACUUCGGGAAACCGUAGCUAAUACCGUAUAAUAUUUUGAACCGCAUGGUUCAAAAGUGAAAGACGGUCUUGCUGUCACUUAUAGAUGGAUCCGCGCUGCAUUAGCUAGUUGGUAAGGUAACGGCUUACCAAGGCAACGAUGCAUAGCCGACCUGAGAGGGUGAUCGGCCACACUGGAACUGAGACACGGUCCAGACUCCUACGGGAGGCAGCAGUAGGGAAUCUUACGCAGUGGGCGAAAGCCUGACGGAGCAACGCCGAGUGAGUGAUGAAGGUCUUCGGAUCGUAAAACUCUGUUAUUAGGGAAGAACAUAUGUGUAAGUAACUGUGCACAUCUUGACGGUACCUAAUCAGAAAGCCACGGCUAACUACGUG